UACGGCCACAUCACGUUAAAACACCGGUUUCUAUACGAUUACCGAAGUUAAGCAAACUUGAUCCUGGUCAGUACCUACAUGGGUGACCACUUGGGAAUAUC
Non-coding RNA from Acanthosepion pharaonis, 101 nucleotides. The record is from the annotation of a GenBank genome assembly. NCBI's taxonomy places the organism in Eukaryota, Metazoa, Mollusca, Cephalopoda, Sepiida, Sepiidae.